This 405-nucleotide ribosomal RNA is filed under the name Bostrichobranchus digonas. RNAcentral describes it as "eukaryotic LSU rRNA". Lineage: Eukaryota; Metazoa; Chordata; Ascidiacea; Stolidobranchia; Molgulidae. The record is from RNAcentral.
CGUGAAACCGUUGUGAGGUAAACGGAGGGGGCCCGGCGGUCGUUUUGAUGCUUUCAGUUGGAUGCGCCGUCGCGUAGCGUGUACGGGAUGCCUUUGGCACUCAGAAAGCGUGACGUGGUGAGCAGCCAGCGCACUAGUGUCGAUUCGAACGCCGCGACCGCUUGUUGGGCGACCAGAAGCCUUGUGCGAAGAUAGCAUCUAUGCCUUCGGGUGUAGGUGUUUUACAGAGCGCGAGUGUUGAUGGCUUGCUUGGCGAGUGGGGAAUCCUGGCCGCGUCUGCCCUUUAGGGCGAGUCUCGCGUUGCCGUUGGUCUGUAGCGAUCUGUCUUCUGUUCUCAGAGGGCGGGACGAGGCGGGCUUUCGUGCUGCGUUGUUCUCAUAGGCGCCAAGGGUCCGCGGUUCUGCU